CCGAGUUAGGGUUCUCUGAAAACGAGGCCCGACCUCCCAACCCUGUGUUUAUACCGACCACUGUUGCUUCGGCGGACCGCCUCUCCUCCCUUCACGGGGUGGGUUUGUGGGCGCCGGGGGCGAGAGAUCGCCCCUGGAGCGUGUCCGUCGACGGCCAUCAAACAAACUCUUUAUUGAAAACCACCUUCUGAAAACCUUUUUAGUUAUUGAAUUAACAAAAACA
This 223-nucleotide unclassified non-coding RNA is filed under the name uncultured Ascomycota. RNAcentral's name for it is "sequence contains ITS1". The record is from RNAcentral. Lineage: Eukaryota; Fungi; Ascomycota.